This 82-nucleotide transfer RNA is filed under the name Microgenomates bacterium DG_75. Its description in RNAcentral is "tRNA-Leu". It matches the Rfam family "tRNA". From Rfam's summary of the family: Transfer RNA (tRNA) molecules are approximately 80 nucleotides in length. Their secondary structure includes four short double-helical elements and three loops (D, anti-codon, and T loops). Further hydrogen bonds mediate the characteristic L-shaped molecular structure. tRNAs have two regions of fundamental functional importance: the anti-codon, which is responsible for specific mRNA codon recognition, and the 3' end, to which the tRNAs corresponding amino acid is attached (by aminoacyl-tRNA synthetases). tRNAs cope with the degeneracy of the genetic code in two manners: having more than one tRNA (with a specific anti-codon) for a particular amino acid; and 'wobble' base-pairing, i.e. permitting non-standard base-pairing at the 3rd anti-codon position. The record is from RNAcentral. Lineage: Bacteria; Candidatus Microgenomatota.
GGGCGGGUGGUGAAAUUGGUAAACACGCAUGGUUUAGGACCAUGUGCCGUAAGGCUUGGAGGUUCGAGUCCUCUCCCGCCCA